Molecule: long non-coding RNA, 1875 nt
Organism: Puntigrus tetrazona (Sumatra barb)
Lineage: Eukaryota; Metazoa; Chordata; Actinopteri; Cypriniformes; Cyprinidae
Exons: 3
Source: RefSeq, a predicted model, not a curated record
AAGCGGGGAACUCCCACGCACCCGCGUGAAGGGCCUGGUGAUGCUGCCAUCAGGUGGAGGUGAAGGGCUUUCCCGCGAACGCGCCGCUCGCUCGUCGCCAUGACUGAUAAUCAAGUUGAAACGCCGCUCAGAGUAUCUGUAGCAUGCCGGCAUUCUUCAAAACAUUUCCUUUUGUGUUCUACAAGUAACGCGGCAUAAAAGCAACACGAUUUGGUCUGCAAUGUGUCCAGCUGACCACUAGAUGGCGGUCUUUGAUUACAGGUUUUCCUCAUCUCUGAAUGACUUGAGAACCCCGGAUUCCUUCAACCCUACAUCAUUAUGCAUCUGUUCUUUGUUUCAUAGUCAUUCGCGUGGCUGACACUCUUAACAUGAUGUUUCGUGCUCAGGAAUCCCAGACGAGAGCCAAACGUUUACGCGUCGUACUCUAGCGGACGCGUCUCAUCAGCAUCUCCUAUCAAAACAUCAGUAUUUGGCCACACCUGUUCCUCUGAUGACAAUCCUGGUCACUUGGCUUUGGAGUUCCUCCUCCUCUAAUUCACUUUUGCCUGCCAGUUCAGAUGGAUCUCUGUGUGUGAGGGUUGAGAUGGAGCUUUGUGGUCUCUCUCUCUCUCUCUCUCUCUCUCUCUCUCUCUCUCUCUCUCUCUCUCUCGCUCCUGUACUGCUGGGUCAAAGGCAGAGAGACAGCACAAGUUUUUUGCCGUCAUCCUGUCAGGGUCAGCUUUUCACAUACAGCCAUAUGCUCUUGAAUGCAGAGGGAGAGUCAAAGUACUGCAUGUUCCCUAAUCUGACACUUUGGAUGGGGAGGGGGGCUAGAUGGAAACAAGGGAUGCGUUAAACGGCGCCGCGAAUUAAAACAGAAAAAGUGAAACAGAUCAUCCAGACUGACGGGAAGCUUGUUGUGCCGAGGCGGCGGUGGGAGGUGAGCACGUAAAGGAGCGCUGGGCUGUGCCUCGGGGCAGAGAGGAGAGAGCGGCGCUGCGGUGUUUGUUUGGAAAUCUCACACAGCUCGCAACAUUCCUGAGCGUCUGCGAAACCGGACAUCUUUCUCUGUUCGCUCUCUGGCAUUUCUUUUUUUUUUUUUUUUUUUUUCGGGCGGUCUUCUGGGGCGCUCCUGCGGUGCUAGUCAUGUAUGCAGCUGGAGUGGGAAGCAGUGGGCAGAGUAAAACUAAUACCCCCCCCCUCUCUCUCGCUCUCUCAGGAAAGUGCCUCUGCCUCGUCUCACGCAGAGCGAACGCAACAAAGAUCUGAGUGUGGCCGUAGCCCCGGGGCGAGCGCGCCCACCACGGCCUCUCCUGUGUCACGCAUUGCUGCUCCCUUCCAGAGCACUCUUUCUCUUUCAGGCGAUGUUCAGGCAAACAGGCAGCUCGGUAUUUUCUAUUACGCCGUCACUUUUAGGACACACGUUUGGUAUUUCUUUUAAAACAUCUAGUUUCACUCAAAAACAAAAAACCGUGUCAUCAUUUAAUCGCCCUCAACCUGUAUGAAUCUCUUGCUGGUUAACAAUAUUUUGAAGAAUUUGGAUGACCAAACAGUUGCUGGUCCCCACUUGACUUCCAUAGUAUGGACAAAAUACGCUAUGGGUGUUAAGUUUUUGGUUAUUCACAUUCUUUAAAAUGCAGUUUCAGUCGACACUGACUGUUUCUCACACUUUGACUUUUGUUGCUUCUAUAUUGUACUACCUGUUGAAAAAAAAACAAACAAAAAAAGACAGCAUAUGGUUUAGGUGUGUUUCAUCUCUUUGAAGCUGGAAUGCCGGUCUAAGCCGGUCCUUUGCUGGUUUAAGCUGGUCUAUAUCUGGUCAUGUGCUGGUUCUGAGUUGGUCUGACCAGCAUAAAACCCCAGCAAAAGACCAACUUUAACCAGCAAAGAACCAGC